UACGGGGGAUGCAAGCGUUAUCCGGAAUUAUUGGGCGUAAAGCGUCCGUAGGCGGCGAGUCAAGUCUGCUGUUAAAGAGUGCAGCUUAACUGCAUAGAGGCGGCGGAAACUGACUAGCUAGAGUGUGGUAGGGGUAGAGGGAAUUCCCGGUGUAGCGGUGAAAUGCGUAGAUAUCGGGAAGAACACCAGUGGCGAAGGCGCUCUACUGGGCCACAACUGACGCUGAUGGACGAAAGCUAGGGGAGCGAAAGGG
RNAcentral lists this ribosomal RNA (253 nucleotides) under uncultured bacterium. Its description in RNAcentral is "partial 16S ribosomal RNA". It matches the Rfam family "Bacterial small subunit ribosomal RNA", at positions 524 to 776 of the family's 1533-position model. The record is from RNAcentral.